Molecule: unclassified non-coding RNA, 155 nt
Filed under: uncultured Cucurbitariaceae
Lineage: Eukaryota; Fungi; Ascomycota; Dothideomycetes; Pleosporales; Cucurbitariaceae
Description: sequence contains ITS2
Source: RNAcentral
ACACCCUCAAGCUCUGCUUGGUGUUGGGCGUCUGUCCCGCCUUCGUGCGCGGACUCGCCUCAAAGCGAUUGGCGGCUGGUACCACGGCCUGGGGUGCAGCAGAAUUGCGCUCCUUGUCCCGGGGUCUGGCUCCCAGAAGCGAACCUUUUUAACUC